Molecule: non-coding RNA, 1470 nt
Filed under: Selaginella moellendorffii
Lineage: Eukaryota; Viridiplantae; Streptophyta; Lycopodiopsida; Selaginellales; Selaginellaceae
Description: Eukaryotic large subunit ribosomal RNA
Rfam family: Eukaryotic large subunit ribosomal RNA
Source: Rfam by way of RNAcentral
CGACCUCAGGUCAGGCAAGACAACCCGCUGAGUUUAAGCAUAUCACUAAGCGGAGGAAAAGAAACUAACAAGGAUUUCCCUAGUAGCGGCGAGCGAAACGGAAAGAGCCCAGCUUGGAAAUCGGGGUGUCUCUGCACCCCGAAUUGUAGUCUGGAGAAGGGUCCUCUGCAGCGGACCGGGUUUAAGUCCCUUGGAACGGGACGCCAGAGAGGGUGAGAGCCCCGUCUAGCCCGGACCCUGCUGCAUCACGAGGCUCUUUCGGCGAGUCGGGCUGUUUGGGAAUGCAGCCUUAAGUGGGUGGUAAAUUCCAUCCAAGGCUAAAUACUGGUGAGAGACCGAUAGCGCACAAGUACCGCGAGGGAAAGAUGAAAAGGACUUUGAAAAGAGAGUUAAAAAGUGCUUGAAAUUGCUGGGAGGGAAGCGAAUGGAUGCCUUGUGCGCCCCUUGGUUGUGUGUGGAACGGCGAGAGCUGGUCUGCCAAGCAAUGCAAGGGGCUGUCCAGCAUGGGAGGACGCGGCGGGAUAACGGCUUGUGAGCCUCUGGCUCCCUGCCAAUGCCGCCGCUGCCUCUGAAAAUGGCGGGGUGCUCCGGUGCCCCGCCAGAUGCUGGAACUUGGGCGUUCCAUCCGACCCGUCUUGAAACACGGACCAAGGAGUCUAACAUGUAUGCGAGUCUGUGGGUGCUAAACCCGUACAGGCGAAAGGAAACUAAUUCGUGGGAUCCCCUUCGGGGGUGCACCACGGACCGACCUUGAUCUUUUGAGAAGGGUUUGAGUGUUAGCAUACCUGCUGGGACCCGAAAGAUGGUGAACUAUGCCUGAGCAGGGCGAAGCCAGAGGAAACUCUGGUGGAGGCUCGUAGCGAUACUAACGUGCAAAUCGUUCGUCAGACUUGGGUAUAGGGGCGAAAGACUAAUCGAACCAUCUAGUAGCUGGUACCCUCCGAAGUUUCCCUCAGGAUAGCUGGAGCUCUUGCUGAGUUUUAUCGGGUAAAGCGAAUGAUUAGAGGCAUCGGGGGUGAAACACCCUCGACCUAUUCUCAAACUUUAAAUAGGUAAAGCAGCCGGGGUUGCUCUGUUGAGCCCCGGCCGUGAAUGCGAGCUCCAAGUGGGCCAUUUUUGGUAAGCAGAACUGGCGAUGCGGGAUGAACCGAAAGCCGGGCUACGGUGCCAAAGUGCGCGCUAACCCAGAUCCCACAAAGGGUGUUGAUUGAUUAAGACAGCAGGACGGUGGUCAUGGAAGUCGAAAUCCGCUAAGGAGUGUGUAACAACUCACCUGCCGAAUCAACUAGCCCCGAAAAUGGAUGGCGCUUAAGCGCGCGGCCUAUGCCCGGCCAUCGCGGCGAUUGCGAGGCCCCGAUGAGUAGGAGGGCGUGGGGGUCGUGGUGCAGCUCUGGGCGCGAGCCCGAGUGAAACGGCCCCCAGUGCAGAUCUUGGUGGUAGUAGCAAGUAUUCCGAACAACCUUUGGGUGU